AUGUAGGGUUCAAAGCCAUUAG
This 22-nucleotide microRNA is filed under the name Danio rerio (zebrafish). Its description in RNAcentral is "Dre-Mir-135-P4b_3p* (star (passenger))". Lineage: Eukaryota; Metazoa; Chordata; Actinopteri; Cypriniformes; Danionidae. The record is from RNAcentral.